AAACAUACAUGCAUGCAUAUUGGGACCAGGGAAGACACUUAGAGAUCCAAAGUUACAAUGUGUGGUUGGGUUAAUUGCAAUGAAAAUGUUAGUGAAAUUCUCAAUUGGCUUCUAUCAGUUGUAACCCUAUUAUGAAUGUGUUUUCCUGUGUACAAUGUGUGAUUAAAAGUAAGAGCCUAAGGCUUUAUAAUGCAUACUCCUUUUUAUUGCUUAAGUUUAAAUUUAACAAUAUUAACUAUAGUUGAAAAAUCUGUAUUUUUCAUCUGUUUUAUUUAUCCUUCCAUGGAUGGGCACUUGUUGUUUAACCUACAUGUACAUUAUUGUUAUGUUAGUUUAGUAAAGUAUGAAUUAAUAAUGGAUUAAACCCAGAUUUGUGUUAAAUAUAGCCUCCUUUUGUUGUGCUUGAUAUCCUAUUAUUUUUUUUUAUAUAUUAAGAUAAGUAAGUUAACACUUAUAGACAUACUCCAACAAAUAUAAUAUUUUUUAAAACCAGUAUAUAUUUUAAAUGGAGUGUUUGAAAGAGAGAGUCGAAAAAACAAUGCACAAAACCAGACAAAUUGAAACAAAUGCAUGACACAAGUGUGUUUAAAAACAAAAGGAAUGUUUCUCUGUUUACGAGUUAUUGUAUGGACUACAAACACAAUACAAACCCUCUUAAAACCCAGGUUAUAUCAGGUGUUAAGAGUCAGCAUACACUGCUUGUAUAUGAUUUAUAGUUCAUAACUGUCUGUCAUUCUGUACCUCUGUCAAACCUUGUAAAUUAGCCAUACUUGGUAUAGAAUAAAGAUUAUUUGUACACAAUGAUUUUCAAUGUAUAGUUUCACACUAUAUAUAUAUGAAAAUAACUUUGUAUAAUUUUCAUAUUUCUGUUUCCUGAAAACUAGUAACGAUUACCAGUAUAGUUGUAUAGUUCUAAGCAUUUUGUCAAACAUCUGAACUUGUAAUAAUAUUCCCUGAACAUUUUUAUACAGGAUUGUGGUUAAAACUCUUAAAAUAUAAAUAUUUCUGUAACAAUUUUAAACGUAAUAACAAUUAACCACUUCAUGAUAUCCAUUACCAAAAGUGUUGUAUAGUCUGAUUAAAACCACAGAAUUUACUUUGCUUUUCAGAUACUAGUGAAGAAAUAAAGAAACAAGAGUAGACACCAUUUGACCAACUGUGCUUACAGUACUUGUGCAACAGUUGUGAUUGAUGUCCAUAUUACAUUGUAGUAUGAUAAUACUUUACAGCAUCGACAGAAUUAUCAUCUUGGUCGUCAAUGCCUCUCAUUUCAUAAUAAAUUGCAUUUGUUAUUUAGGUUGUAUGAUUUUCUAAAACGACUUUUUUGUUAUUAAUGGAGUAGAAUGUUGAAAAAACAAAUGACAAAGAAAAUUGCUGAAUAAAGGCCACAAGUUCUUUUUUAUUGUUUUAAAUAAAAAUUAGUAUGGUGUUUGACUGAAUUAAAAAAGAUAUUUCUUAUUUAUUUCCAGUACAUUAAAAAGCACUUUAUCACACAAUCAGUGGCAGAUCCAGAAAUUUUCAUAAGUUAGGGCCCACUGACUGCCUAAGAGGGGGUCCAGCUCACUCCAGUCAUGCUUCAGUGAUUCCCUAUAUAAUCCACCAAUUUUGUUUCCAUAAAAGGAGGGGGCUGGGCCCCCCGCCCCCCUAAACCCACCUCUGACAAUACCAUGAAAAUAAAUUUGCUGUAGCUAUUUGUUGUAUUUUGUUUUCAUUGUGUAUUUCUGACAUAAAACCCUCAUUUUUACUAUAUAUAU
Molecule: long non-coding RNA, 1754 nt
Filed under: Mytilus galloprovincialis (Mediterranean mussel)
Lineage: Eukaryota; Metazoa; Mollusca; Bivalvia; Mytilida; Mytilidae
Source: RNAcentral